This 342-nucleotide unclassified non-coding RNA is filed under the name soil metagenome. RNAcentral describes it as "partial contains 5.8S ribosomal RNA, internal transcribed spacer 2, and large subunit ribosomal RNA". The stretch from base 1 to 120 matches the Rfam family "5.8S ribosomal RNA", at positions 35 to 154 of the family's 154-position model. The record is from RNAcentral.
GAUGAUGAACGUAGCGAAAUGCGAUAAGUAGUGUGAAUUGCAGAAUUCAGUGAAUCAUCGAAUCUUUGAACGCACAUUGCGGCCAUAGGUAUUCCUUUGGCCAUGCCUGUUCGAGCGUCAUUUACACCCUCAAGCCUAGCUUGGUGUUGGGCGCCUGUCCCGCCGUUUUCGCGCGCGGACUCGCCUCAAAGUCAUUGGCGGCGGUCGUGCCGGCCCCCUCGCGCAGCACAUUUGCGCUUCUCGGAGGCCCGGCGGAUCCGCGCUCCAGCAAGACCUUUCACGACUUGACCUCGGAUCAGGUAGGGAUACCCGCUGAACUUAAGCAUAUCAAUAAGCGGAGGA